This 5079-nucleotide long non-coding RNA is filed under the name Malus domestica (apple). RNAcentral's name for it is "long non-coding RNA (MDOM_LNC014825)". The record is from RNAcentral. Lineage: Eukaryota; Viridiplantae; Streptophyta; Magnoliopsida; Rosales; Rosaceae.
GAGCGGUUGCUCUCUGAUCUAAUUGCAGACACAAUCUGCAGAACCGUCUUCUAUGGGAUUUGAACUUGUGAAGUGUGAGGUGGAGACCUGAAUGUAACAAAUUGGUGUUAAGUGAAUAAUUCCAAACAUAUAAAAUUUAGAUCAUCACACCGAACGCAAACAGAACAAUUAAAUAAACAACUGAAGGCAUACGCAAUCUAAUUAGACAAAUAAGUGAACUUUCCCAUGCCGAAAUCUGAAAGGCCAACAGAAAUAUCUCAUUACAGCACAGAAGACAAAACUUAGGACAAAACUUAAAACUAAUCAAACUUAGGUGAACCAAUUAUAGAGAACAUAACCCUUGUAACCAAUCGGGAAAAGAUGCUUUUAAAUCCCAGAAAAAAAAAUUAAGAGGAGUUUUUUAAAAAACCAUCAUUUCAAUUAUUUUCCAGUCUUACAUUUGGAUUAAACAGAAAAUAUAAGUAAAAAUGCCAACUUUCUAAAAAAACUACAACUAUUUUUACAAAUUUCCAUUACCCAAUGCUGAAAAAUGAGAAUCACGAAGCAAUGAAGAACGGAACACGCGAGAACCAAAAAGUUAAAAACAACACGUAACCAUUUCAAAGACCCAAAAUCCUGCAAGGACAAAAAAAUCCCAUAAAAUCAGUACAUCAGCACUCCCUGCAAAACCCCAAAAUCAGAAAAUUAUAAAAAGAACCCAAAAUCAGUGGCAUGGUCCUCGUUUCUCCAUCAUUCAGUAGCUAAUGACCUAAUGGAAAAGAACCCAAAACAUACAGCUUAAAAUAUGGAAAGUGCUUAUAAAAGCUCAUGAAUAACGUUCAAAGCCUGCAUAGAAAUGGUAUAGCGCAGAUAACAACAAACAAUAAAACUAUGCACAGUAUAACCUAAAUCCGAUAUGUUGCAUUCCCCACACACAGAUUGUUCAAAAUUAAUUUCGUCUCCGUCUUUUUUCAAAUCUGAUAAAAUCCCCAAAACACAAAAAAUAGCAGCUAACUAUUUUUUGAACUCUGUAAACAACGAUAUGCAUCUUAACCCAUUUAACAUAUUCAUAAAAUAACAUCAAACACAUUUAUGCAUGAGAUAAUAUAGAAGUGAAGUCUCACAACUUUCAUAAAAAAUUAUUACUUUGUUAGAGAAAGGCUUGAAAAAAUAUGUAAAUUACUCACCUCUAUUACAAAAAUGUUACAACAGUAGACAAAAAAGGCCAAAAAUACCAAAAGCCGCACCUCCUGAAAUAAAAAACAUAACCAAACGACACAUUCUCAGUAUCUAAACGAUAUCCAGAAAAAAAGAAAUGAACAGACGAAACCCAUGUAAAUAUACAGAACAAACCAAAAAAAAAAAAAAGAACUGAAGCCAGUAAGAAGAUCACAAAUCUGAUAAAGCAAAAGGUAACAUAAUCUAUAUCGAUUUAAUUAUCCAUCCAAAAAGACAUUUGAAUGAAGAACAUUUUUAAGGAUCCAAACAACCAUUAAACUAAACAAUUAAAAGUAAAAACAGCAAAGCAUUCAUUGAAGAAAUAUAUAUAUAUAUAUAUAUUAUAACGUAUUUUGUUCUUUAUACCUAAAAGAAAAACAUUGGCUUUCUUGUAUGCACUGAAGUAUGCAUGUGUCGGAAAUUUACAAUCUAUAGAGACUCAAUCUCAGACUCAAAAAGACAUCUAAAGGAAAAGUAAUAAGAAAAAUAAGUAGUGGUUUUACCUAUACUCCAUGUGUGGACUCCAAUUUUCAAUCACAAUUCAAAAUUCAAGAGGCCUAUAAAUCAACCACAUAGGAAAUGAUCAGUGGAAGAAAAAGAAAAACAACUGAAGCCAAAAUAGCAUCUAACAAAUCAUUUAGAACCAUCACAGAAAACAAUUUUUGCAUAUAAGUAAUUUAAAGGAAUACCAUCAGGUCAUGCAUAUAUACAACGUACCCAAUUAGAUAAGUAGCACAUCAACAAUUGAUGAUCAAAAAGUUAGUCAGCCUCAAUUGCUUGAAUCUAAUUAACUCAAAGAUAAUAAACAGUCCAUUUAAUGCACGGGCUGACUAUCAAUUUUAUAAAGCUAUAAUUCUGUGCAGUUCAAAAACCAAGUGGAAGAAUAGGCAAAAACUAUCUCAUCGCCUGUAAAUGUAAUUAACUAAAUAUUAAACUUCACAGCCACAAAUAAACCUAAAUUCCUCCUAAAACUAUCUCAUUUAAGCUUGAUUUUACUAUAAUCUAUAAGUGUGGUAAAAAAUGGGAGGCCAAACGAUUUGUUAACAAAAAAGGUAGACAUAAAAGUAAAAGGAACAGGGCAGACAUUAGUUGAGGAGAAGCUAAUGUCACCUUGAAUUGACGACAAACAGUUCUUAUCUUCUCGAAUUAACGAAGAUAAGUACCAUUUUUCUUUAAUUCAAGGUAAUAUAAAAAGAAAUUAUACCUGUACAGUGUUCAGAUGUAGCAAUCCUAUGCAAUCGGCCAAAUGAUGUGUGUCCUCUCAAAGAUCUGUAUAUCCAUUACAGACUAAUCUUCAGUCUUGCAGAAAAUGAUAUGUUGACUACAAUUUCCCAUACUACUAAAAAACACAAAUAAUUCUAUCUACAAACCAAAUAAUAUGUGCAACUUUAUGCUACAAUGGUAGAAUAAGAUGGUUGUACAGGACGACACAAAGAUUGAGACUUUUUUUUACUUCUAAAAUUCUACACACUUUCGAGCCCUAAAUUUUCCCGGAAACAAAAAAAAGUGAAAGAAGUCGUACCUGGUUUGAGAGAGUGGGACACCAUCGGCGAGUUUGGUGUAGCAGUGAUGGCGGAGAUCUCUGGUGAGAAAGCUAAUAAGAUGGACAAAAUCAUUGAACAAAAAAAACCUCGCUUUUUAAAAUUAAAGUCAACAAAAAUUUGAACAAAGAAAAGAGAACUCAAACCCGAAACAAAUAAGUCGGAGAACUCGCCAGGAAACCCAAAGUUUCUGCAGGAUUGGCGAUUUCCUGAAAACCAAGCUUUUGUAGGUUUAAAAUUUCUUCCCUAAGGCAACAGAUCCAACAUUCCCAACUUUAGCUAUUUCAGCUACAUAAUAGAAAGAAAAAAAAAUUUAUAUAAUUAACUAAUCUGAUUUAAGAUUAAUCGAAAAGCUUGGAAAUUUCAGCUUUAAAAUUACAUGUCAGGCUGCAAAUCUAAUAAAAAGCGUAGAAUUUUAAAAAUGCUGACCUUAAAUACAGAGGCCUUCGCAGGCUGCAAAGAAGCGUUAGAAACCCGAAAAACCGGAUCUCCUGAAACCAAAAACAAAACCAAAUUAACCAUCAUCACCCAUAAUUCGAAGCCACAAACAUAAUCCCCAAAAUUACAACCCAAAAAUUUAAACAAAAAAACCCAUUUAUAAAUCCAAAUUUACACUCCCAAGUGCAAGACUCUAAGCUCCAACUGUUCUUUCUCAACUUUAGCUAUUUCAGCAACAUAACAUAAAUAAAAAGGUCGUACCCAGUGCACAAGGCUCCCGCUUUACGCAGGGUCUGGGAGAGGUGAAUGUCGGCUAGCCUUACCCCCAUUUUAUGGAGAGGCUGCUCCCAAGUCUCGAACCCGAGACCUACCGCUCAUGGGCGAAGACACUUGCCAUCGCACCAAGUGCGACCUCUAGCAACAUAACAUAAAUAAAAAGAUCGUACCCAGUGCACAAGGCUCCCGCUUUACGCAGGGUCUGGGAGAGGUGAACGUCGGCUAGCCUUACCCCCAUUUUAUGAAGAGGCUGGAACAUAACAUAAAUAAAUAAACAAAAUUAAUUUAACUAUAAUUAACUAAUAUGAUUUAAGAUUAAUCAAAAAACUUGGAAAUCUGCUUGAAUCCAAUCUCAAAAUUGAAAACGAACACUUCACUUUUACAAAAGUUGUACAAAGCAAAAAAAAAAAAACAGACAAAUCAAAGUCUCACAAAGGGCCACAACGACAGCAAAAUUGCAACAGAAAGAGGAAAAAUGUUCAAUCAAACCAUUGGAUAACUCUUCUAAGGCAGCCAAAAAAAAACCCACAAAUUCAAAACCACAAAAAUCCAAUCUAAAACAUCGAUUCACAGACUGAGAUGCACAAAAUGAUAUAUUAACAAAUCCAAAACGAAAUACAAAAAUUAAGAACCAACAAGCAAAAAAAUACUGAUUAUCCCCUGCAUACGUGAGCACACGUUCAAAAAGCCUCUCAAAGGCUGAGAUUCAACUUUCAAACAUAAAGACUUUAAGCCACAAUUGUUCUUUCUUAACUUUAGCUACUUCAGUUACAUAAUCGGAAAAAAAAAAUUAUUUAAUUAUAGUUAACUAAUCUGGGUUAAGAUUAAUAAAAAAGCUUGGAAAUUUCAGAUCUAAAAUCACACCUCAGGCUGCAAGUAGAAUCAAAACCAUGGAAUUUCAAAAUCACUGACCUUAAACACACAGGUCUUCGCAGGCUUCAAAGAAAAGUCACAAACUCGAAAAACCCAAUCUCCUGAAAUCGAAAACAAAACCAAAUUAACCAUCAUCACCUAGAAUCCGAAGCUACAAAACAAAAUUCCCAAAAUCAAAACCAAAAAAUUUGAACAAAAAACUCAUUUAAUAUCCAAAUUUACACUCCCAAGCACAUAACAUUCAAAGCAGACAAUUACCCAAAUCAAAUCGACAGCAGGAGAUGCAAUCUUUUAUGGGCUUCAAAUUUUCUUCAAACCGAGACCAAAUUCGCUAGUUUUCAGCAAGAGAGCGUUGCCGUUUGUAACCCCCGAUGAAAAGAUCCAAACAAAUUUGACUAACAGUAGACAGAGAGAGAGAGAGAUAGAGAGAGAGAGGUGAAAAUUACUCGCUGGUGACGAAGCUAAUGAAUUCGGAGACGCAUUCCUGGACGGUGUUCGACUGAUCGGCACGAGUAGAGACACCAGAUCAGAAAGACAGAAAAAUUAGGGUUUGGGAGAUAAAGAAACUGGGGCAGAGAGAGAGGGAAAGAGAAGCAGAAAAGAGGAUAAUUUUAUGCAUUUUUUUUAGCCGCUUUGAAUUUUUUUUGGCCGACAGGCAUUUGCGUCCGAUUAUUUUUGUCGAAGCCGGUGACACCAAAACCGGCCUCCGGCUUUCGGACCAGGAUUGUCUGCCCCUUCAUUUUCCCUGCCAUGU